UGACUGAGGAGCAUAUAAAGAUGAAAGAAGAGGAACAGGAGUGGUUUGUGAAGAGGUCUGAAGACAACACAUCACCAACUCAGGAGUAUUUUGUCAAAGGGAAAAGGCCAUCAAAAUCACAAAACAUGUCUAGCGCUGGUGAGGGACUGAACCUUGUGCUCCUGGGGAAGAGUGGUGUGGGGAAGAGCUCGUGUGGGAGCACCACCCUCCUCCCCUGAACCCGUAACUCUGAAACCACAAAUUGCCCGAGGAGUGAUCGGUGGCACAGAUGUGGUCGUCAUUGACACCCCAGACCAGUUUGGUUCUCAGGUUAGCCAAAAGGAGUUACAGAAACAGAUGG
This is a long non-coding RNA of Alosa sapidissima (American shad), 340 nucleotides long. RefSeq lists it as uncharacterized. Lineage: Eukaryota; Metazoa; Chordata; Actinopteri; Clupeiformes; Clupeidae. The transcript is spliced from 3 exons. The record is from RefSeq and is a predicted model, not a curated record.